GUCACUUUGUGUUUGAGGGUAUUGAAGUAUUCUGUGAGUAUUCCAAUAAAAAUAGAAUCGGCAGUUCCCGCCGAUCGGCCGCAGACCAGAGCCACUACUCUA
This is a long non-coding RNA of Strongylocentrotus purpuratus (purple sea urchin), 102 nucleotides long. RefSeq lists it as uncharacterized. NCBI's taxonomy places the organism in Eukaryota, Metazoa, Echinodermata, Echinoidea, Camarodonta, Strongylocentrotidae. The record is from RefSeq and is a predicted model, not a curated record. The transcript has 3 exons.